CGGGCGGCAGACAGAGAGCUGGAGCACGGCCUCUGUGUUCACGCCGGUUACCUUCAUGAUGGAUCGCCGAGCACGCCCCUAGAUGGACUGCGUAGCCGGUCAUUCCAGUCUGCUGUUCGAUAGUUACUUUGUACCUUUGGACUUAAUCUACGUGGAACGGAAAUAUCACUAAGGAUUGAAAUGGAAACCUGGAGAGGUUGAUGGCCCCUGUGCUCACACAACCAACUGAAAAUCCCGGGCAGCUACAACAAGGCUGAAUUCUAUCCAUCAGAAGUGAACGAGACAGAAGAGUUAACUUCCUGCAUCAUUUUCACCCCUAGGUGAUGAAGACUGACCAGUUAGACUGGUCACUGGCGUCCACCAUAAAGAUGGCCACAACAAAUACAACCAGCCCCACUAUAGAUAAUUUGAUGGAAAACGACCACCACUGGCAACACGAGACUGGAAGUACAGACACUUGGAUUUAGGCUCCUGCCAAUGACACGGAAUACGAUCUCAAGUUACUCACUUGGCCUUUCCGAGCCCCAGUCUCCACUUCUGUCAAUUGUAGUUGGGACAAGAUCUGGCGCUGUGAGGAGACGAGGUCCUGGCGGAGAGGCUGGAAGCACACGGAGGGGUUCUGACACCAGGGCCUGCUUGCACUACUCAGAGGGAAGAAUGAAAAGGGACAUAAAUCAGGAGGAAGGACGAAUGGAAUCUGAGGUGUUCGGGGGCAGAAGACGGGAGUUUGCUUCAGAAACUCGAAUGAAAUAGAAUCUGACAUAGAUCUUCUGAAUCCGACAAUCUGGGCUUGCAGCUUGGCCGUGCCCCACGGCUUCAGACAACCUCCUCCAACGCUGAG
Molecule: long non-coding RNA, 841 nt
Filed under: Equus caballus (horse)
Lineage: Eukaryota; Metazoa; Chordata; Mammalia; Perissodactyla; Equidae
Description: lncRNA (ENSECAG00000043983.1)
Source: RNAcentral